CAAAAUUGCAUAUCAAUCAUUCAUAUCGUGCCAAGACCUCAUGAACAAAUUAUGGCAAGAAAAUUCACAAGUUUAGUAAAAAAAAAGAACAAAUCAACAAGAAAACAUCACAUAUAUUUUUUUAUCAUUUUUUAACAUGUAAAAACAUCACAAAAAUAUAAAAAAUGCAUCAAGAAACACAUAGAAAUUUUUAGGAAUUUUUGCAAGAAAAUUAGAACAAAAAGGAGGUUCACAUAGCAAAGACAGAGGGUGUGCAUAGCAAGAAUCAAGCAAGAACGCAGGAAACCCACAAGAAAAGGCCCAAGCCCAAUCUCAAUUGGACCUGGACGCUCAGGAGCCGUUAGAUUGAUCCAGGAAGCCAAACCCUAGAUCUAAAGGCUCAGAAUGAAGGAAAAGCGAACCGAAGAUGAAACGGACCGGUCUAAGCGCCUAUAUAAGCACAUGGACACCGGUCCAAUUCAUUUCCUUUCCCCCUUUCUCUCUCUAACUCACUCGUUCUCUCACUAGGCUCUCGUCUUCUCUCUUCCCCCCGCCGGUUUCUGGAAGGAGACGGCCGGAGAAGAUGAAGAUUCAUCGGAAUCUUCAUCA
Molecule: long non-coding RNA, 588 nt
Filed under: Medicago truncatula (barrel medic)
Lineage: Eukaryota; Viridiplantae; Streptophyta; Magnoliopsida; Fabales; Fabaceae
Description: long non-coding RNA (MTRU_LNC008656)
Source: RNAcentral